UUGAGAGCGGCGUACGGUGCGACACGUGUGCACUGCCUUUUAUCUGGGGGAUAGCCUUUCGAAAGGAGAUAUACCAUAUAUGUUGAUGGCAUCAUCGACAUUUGAAACUCCGUGGAUAGAGAUGGCACGCGCAGAUAAAUAGUUGGUGAGGUACGGUCACAGUCUACGAUCUUUAGGGGCCUGAGAGUGAUCCCCACACUGGUACUGAGACACGGACCAGACUCCUACGGGAGGCAGCAGUUGAAGGAAAUUAUUUGGGACCAAUGGGUGAGAGCUGAUCCAGCCAUCCCGGCGUUGAAAAGGACGACUGCCUAUGGGUUGUAAACUCCUUUUUGGUUAAUAAGGGGAUAAACUACCUCGUGAGGGUAGCUGAAGGUACUAUACGAAUAAGCACCGGCCAACUCCGUGCCAGCAGCCGCGGUAAUACGGAGGGUGCAAGCGUUAUCCGGAUUUAUUGGGGGGGGUUUUUAAAAAGGGGGUCCGUAGCGGAUCUGUAAGUCAGUGGUGAAAUCUCACAGUUAACUGUGAAACUGCAUUGAUACUGCAGGUCUUGAGUGUUGUUGAAGUACUGGAAUAAGUAGUGUACGGUGAAAUGCAUAA
This 600-nucleotide ribosomal RNA is filed under the name uncultured bacterium. Its description in RNAcentral is "bacterial SSU rRNA". It matches the Rfam family "Bacterial small subunit ribosomal RNA", at positions 89 to 693 of the family's 1533-position model. The record is from RNAcentral.